RNAcentral lists this ribosomal RNA (812 nucleotides) under Mermithidae sp. C-AV-2003. RNAcentral describes it as "bacterial SSU rRNA". It matches the Rfam family "Eukaryotic small subunit ribosomal RNA", at positions 967 to 1803 of the family's 1831-position model. The record is from RNAcentral. Lineage: Eukaryota; Metazoa; Nematoda; Enoplea; Mermithida; Mermithidae.
UUUUCAUUAAUCAAGGACGAAAGUUAGAGGUUCGAAGGCGAUCAGAUACCGCCCUAGUUCUAACCGUAAACGAUGCCGACUGGUUUUGGCCGAUGUUACUUUAUGACUCGGCAGGCGGCCCCCGGGAAACCAAAGUGUUCAGGUUCCGGGGGAAGUAUGGUUGCAAAGCUUAAACUUAAAGGAAUUGACGGAAGGGCACCACCAGGAGUGGAGCCUGCGGCUUAAUUUGACUCAACACGGGAAAUCUCACCCGGCCAGGACACAAUAAGGAUUGACAGAUUGAUAGCUCUUUCUCGAUUUUGUGGGUGGUGGUGCAUGGCCGUUCUUAGUUGGUGGAGCGAUUUGUCUGGUUAAUUCCGAUAACGAACGAGACUCUAGCCUACUAAAUAGACAGAGUAUUCAGACGUACUUUGUUCUUCUUAGAGGGACACGUAGCUUCUAGUUGCACGAGAUUGAGCGAUAACAGGUCUGUGAUGCCCUUAGAUGUCCGGGGCUGCACGCGCGCUACAAUGAAGGUAGCAGAAUGCGUCAAAACCGUGUCCGAGAGGACUCGGCAAUCACCAAUCACUUUUGUGCUUGGGAUAGGGAAUUGAAAUUAUUUCCCUUGAACGAGGAAUUUCUAGUAAGUGCGAGUCAUAAGCUCGCGCUGAUUACGUCCCUGCCCUUUGUACACACCGCCCGUCGCUACUACCGAUUGAAGGUUUCAAUGAAACACAUGGAUCGGGCUCGAGCCGAUGUAACAGUUGGUUUGGUGCCUGAGAAGUGCGUUGAAUUGUCACCUUUAGAGGAAGUAAAAGUCGUAACAAGGUUUC